AGCAUUCUCUGGUGUUGAAGGCCCUGCAAAGCAGCAUCGCGGUGGCGGAGCGUCGUUUGCGACGCCCAACGCACAAAACAAGCGGUGAGUGCUUUGGGGUGGGGUGACUGCGUACCUUUUGUAUAAUGGGUCAGCGACUUAUAUUCUGUAGCAAGGUUAACCGCAUAGGGGAGCCGUAGGGAAACCGAGUCUUAACCGGGCGUUAAGUUGCAGGGUAUAGACCCGAAACCCGGUGAUCUAGCCAUGGGCAGGUUGAAGGUUGGGUAACACUAACUGGAGGACCGAACCGACUAAUGUUGAAAAAUUAGCGGAUGACCUGUGGCUGGGGGUGAAAGGCCAAUCAAACCGGGAGAUAGCUGGUUCUCCCCGAAAGCUAUUUAGGUAGCGCCUCGUGAAUUCAUCUCCGGGGGUAGAGCACUGUUUCGGCUAGGGGGCCAUCCCGGCUUACCAACCCGAUGCAAACUGCGAAUACCGGAGAAUGUUAUCACGGGAGACACACGGCGGGUGCUAACGUCCGUCGUGAAGAGGGAAACAACCCAGACCGCCAGCUAAGGUCCCAAAGUCAUGGUUAAGUGGGAAACGAUGUGGGAAGGCCCAGACAGCCAGGAUGUUGGCUUAGAAGCAGCCAUCAUUUAAAGAAAGCGUAAUAGCUCACUGGUCGAGUCGGCCUGCGCGGAAGAUGUAACGGGGCUAAACCAU
RNAcentral lists this ribosomal RNA (699 nucleotides) under Salmonella enterica. Its description in RNAcentral is "partial 23S ribosomal RNA". The stretch from base 78 to 699 matches the Rfam family "Bacterial large subunit ribosomal RNA", at positions 566 to 1190 of the family's 2925-position model. The record is from RNAcentral. Lineage: Bacteria; Pseudomonadati; Pseudomonadota; Gammaproteobacteria; Enterobacterales; Enterobacteriaceae.